This 468-nucleotide ribosomal RNA is filed under the name uncultured bacterium. RNAcentral's name for it is "partial 16S ribosomal RNA". It matches the Rfam family "Bacterial small subunit ribosomal RNA", at positions 28 to 523 of the family's 1533-position model. The record is from RNAcentral.
GAUGAACGCUGGCGGCGUGCCUAACACAUGCAAGUCGAGCGAUCUUCUUCGGAAGAGAGCGGCGGACGGGUGAGUAACGCGUGGGUAACCUGCCCUGUACACACGGAUAACAUACCGAAAGGUAUGCUAAUACGGGAUAACAUAAGAAAUUCGCAUGUUUUUCUUAUCAAAGCUCCGGCGGUAUAGGAUGGACCCGCGUCUGAUUAGCUAGUUGGUGAGGUAACGGCUCACCAAGGCGACGAUCGGUAGCCGACCUGAGAGGGUGAUCGGCCACAUUGGAACUGAGACACGGUCCAAACUCCUACGGGAGGCAGCAGUGGGGAAUAUUGCACAAUGGGCGAAAGCCUGAUGCAGCAACGCCGCGUGAGCGAUGAAGGCCUUCGGGUCGUAAAGCUCUGUCCUCAAGGAAGAUAAUGACGGUACUUGAGGAGGAAGCCCCGGCUAACUACGUGCCAGCAGCCGCGGUAA